UUUGAGGGGAAUGUUGUCUGGCUCGAAGUCAUUAUUUCUUCUCGAUCAUCUAGCUCGAAUCCAUCAAGUUGAAAAUUUUGAAUUUGGAGAAUAGAUGAUCGCGAUGAGAUGGUGUCUUCGGACCAGGCUUCAUUCCCCCCAAU
This 143-nucleotide microRNA precursor is filed under the name Capsicum annuum. RNAcentral's name for it is "mir-166 microRNA precursor family". It matches the Rfam family "mir-166 microRNA precursor family". Rfam says of the family: This family represents the plant microRNA (miRNA) precursor mir-166. Animal miRNAs are transcribed as ~70nt precursors and subsequently processed by the Dicer enzyme to give a ~22nt product. In plants the precursor sequences may be longer, and the carpel factory (caf) enzyme appears to be involved in processing. The record is from Rfam by way of RNAcentral. Lineage: Eukaryota; Viridiplantae; Streptophyta; Magnoliopsida; Solanales; Solanaceae.